CAUGCCAACUAUGUAUGAUCGGUGGUCGUUAUCGCAAAUCAGAAAUCAGAAAUCGACAAAUACCCGUACUAAAGUGAAAAUCCUCGAGUGCUACAUAUGUACAUAUGUCCGCAUUGUGUAGGCAUCGCCACCGCCACCGCCACCGCCACCGCCACCGCCUCCAUUGUCAAUUUAAAUUAAUAACGCUUCAACCACUAUAAAUCGACCCACCAGAAGGCCCUAGCAACUGGAAAGGGCAACUAGAUGUACUUGUUGAUAGUGAGUAUGCCAUUCUCUAAAUAAUCAAUUGAACUUACACUUCCAAGAAUUUAAACUUUUAAUUAGAAAUUCGAAUAUAAAAUAAUAUUAAGCUAAUUUGC
This is a long non-coding RNA of Drosophila sechellia, 359 nucleotides long. RefSeq lists it as uncharacterized. The record is from RefSeq and is a predicted model, not a curated record. NCBI's taxonomy places the organism in Eukaryota, Metazoa, Arthropoda, Insecta, Diptera, Drosophilidae. The transcript has 3 exons.